CCCGAACCUGGGUGAUCUAUCCAUGACUAGGAUGAAGCUUGGGAGAAACUAAAUGGAGGUCCGAACCGACUGAUGUUGAAGAAUCAGCAGAUGAGUUGUGGUUGGAGGUGAAAUGCCACUCGAACUCAGAGCUAGUUGG
This is a non-coding RNA of Gossypium hirsutum (cotton), 139 nucleotides long. The record is from Rfam. NCBI's taxonomy places the organism in Eukaryota, Viridiplantae, Streptophyta, Magnoliopsida, Malvales, Malvaceae.